This 452-nucleotide RNase P RNA is filed under the name Pseudomonadota bacterium. RNAcentral describes it as "Proteobacteria bacterium RNase P RNA component class A". It matches the Rfam family "Bacterial RNase P class A". From Rfam's summary of the family: Ribonuclease P (RNase P) is a ubiquitous endoribonuclease, found in archaea, bacteria and eukarya as well as chloroplasts and mitochondria. Its best characterised activity is the generation of mature 5'-ends of tRNAs by cleaving the 5'-leader elements of precursor-tRNAs. The record is from RNAcentral. Lineage: Bacteria; Pseudomonadati; Pseudomonadota.
CGAGUCGGCCGGACGAUCGCUGUUGGAAGCGAGAACGCGUUCCCAAGAGAGGAAAGUCCGGGCUCCUUCGGACCUCGGCGGUGGAUAACGUCCACCAUCCAAGCGGCGUCCUCGGACGGCGCCAGGAUCGGGAAAGUGCAACAGAAAGCAAACCGCCGGGAGUAGUGGUUAGUGGUCAGUGGCUAGUUAGGAAUUCACUAGCCACUAGCCACUGACCACUAACCACUACUUUCGGUAAGGGUGAAACGGUGGGGUAAGAGCCCACCAGCAGUCGGGUGACCGGCUGGCUCGGCAAACCCCGCCGGGAGCAACGCCAAAUAUGGAAGCAGGAUUGGUCCGAUCCGCAAUGACUUCCGGGUAGGCGGCUCGAGCGCCGCGGCAACGCGACGCCUAGAUAAAUGAUCGUCGCGAGGCAACUCGCACAGAACCCGGCUUACAGGCCGGCUUGCAGA